Molecule: ribosomal RNA, 460 nt
Filed under: uncultured bacterium
Lineage: Bacteria
Description: partial 16S ribosomal RNA
Rfam family: Bacterial small subunit ribosomal RNA
Source: RNAcentral
CCUACGGGGGGCAGCAGUGAGGAAUAUUGGUCAAUGGCCGUAAGGCUGAACCAGCCAAGUAGCGUGAGGGAAGACUGCCCUAUGGGUUGUAAACCUCUUUUAUGCGGGGAUAAAGGUGUCCACGUGUGGAUGUUUGCAGGUACCGCAUGAAUAAGGCCCGGCUAAUUCCGGGCCAGCAGCCGCGGUAAUACGGAUGGUCCGGGCGUUAUGCGGAUUGAUUGGGUUUAGGGGGAGCGUAGGCCGGUCUUUAAGCUUGCCGUGAAAUUUUGUGGCUCAACCAUGAGAGUGCGGGGCGAACUGGAGACCGUGAGUGCGCGGAAGGCAGGCGGAAUUCGUGGUGUAGCGGUGAAAUGCGUAGAUAUGAGGAAGAACCCCGAUUGCGAAGGCAGCCUGCCGCAGCGUUACUGACGCUGAAGCUCGAAAGCGCGGGUAUCGAACAGGAUUAGAUACCCUGGUAGUC